UGCAGUCGAGCGGACAGAUGGGAGCUUGCUCCCUGAUGUUAGCGGCGGACGGGUGAGUAACACGUGGGUAACCUGCCUGUAAGACUGGGAUAACUCCGGGAAACCGGGGCUAAUACCGGAUGGUUGUUUGAACCGCAUGGUUCAGACAUAAAAGGUGGCUUCGGCUACCACUUACAGAUGGACCCGCGGCGCAUUAGCUAGUUGGUGAGGUAACGGCUCACCAAGGCAACGAUGCGUAGCCGACCUGAGAGGGUGAUCGGCCACACUGGGACUGAGACACGGCCCAGACUCCUACGGGAGGCAGCAGUAGGGAAUCUUCCGCAAUGGACGAAAGUCUGACGGAGCAACGCCGCGUGAGUGAUGAAGGUUUUCGGAUCGUAAAGCUCUGUUGUUAGGGAAGAACAAGUGCCGUUCAAAUAGGGCGGCACCUUGACGGUACCUAACCAGAAAGCCACGGCUAACUACGUGCCAGCAGCCGCGGUAAUACGUAGGUGGCAAGCGUUGUCCGGAAUUAUUGGGCGUAAAGGGCUCGCAGGCGGUUUCUUAAGUCUGAUGUGAAAGCCCCCGGCUCAACCGGGGAGGGUCAUUGGAAACUGGGGGAACUUGAGUGCAGAAGAGGAGAGUGGAAUUCCACGUGUAGCGGUGAAAUGCGUAGAGAUGUGGAGGAACACCAGUGGCGAAGGCGACUCUCUGGUCUGUAACUGACGCUGAGGAGCGAAAGCGUGGGGAGCGAACAGGAUUAGAUACCCUGGUAGUCCACGCCGUAAACGAUGAGUGCUAAGUGUUAGGGGGUUUCCGCCCCUUAGUGCUGCAGCUAACGCAUUAAGCACUCCGCCUGGGGAGUACGGUCGCAAGACUGAAACUCAAAGGAAUUGACGGGGGCCCGCACAAGCGGUGGAGCAUGUGGUUUAAUUUCGAAGCAACGCGAAGAACCUUACCAGGUCUUGACAUCCUCUGACAAUCCUAGAGAUAGGACGUCCCCUUCGGGGGCAGAGUGACAGGUGGUGCAUGGUUGUCGUCAGCUCGUGUCGUGAGAUGUUGGGUUAAGUCCCGCAACGAGCGCAACCCUUGAUCUUAGUUGCCAGCAUUCAGUUGGGCACUCUAAGGUGACUGCCGGUGACAAACCGGAGGAAGGUGGGGAUGACGUCAAAUCAUCAUGCCCCUUAUGACCUGGGCUACACACGUGCUACAAUGGACAGAACAAAGGGCAGCGAAACCGCGAGGUUAAGCCAAUCCCACAAAUCUGUUCUCAGUUCGGAUCGCAGUCUGCAACUCGACUGCGUGAAGCUGGAAUCGCUAGUAAUCGCGGAUCAGCAUGCCGCGGUGAAUACGUUCCCGGGCCUUGUACACACCGCCCGUCACACCACGAGAGUUUGUAACACCCGAAGUCGGUGAGGUAACCUUUUAGGAGCCAGCCGCCGAAG
Molecule: ribosomal RNA, 1424 nt
Filed under: Bacillus velezensis
Lineage: Bacteria; Bacillati; Bacillota; Bacilli; Caryophanales; Bacillaceae
Description: bacterial SSU rRNA
Rfam family: Bacterial small subunit ribosomal RNA
Source: RNAcentral